RNAcentral lists this ribosomal RNA (306 nucleotides) under uncultured bacterium. RNAcentral describes it as "partial 16S ribosomal RNA". It matches the Rfam family "Bacterial small subunit ribosomal RNA", at positions 507 to 807 of the family's 1533-position model. The record is from RNAcentral.
GACAGCAGUCGCCGCGGUAAUACGGAGGGUGCAAGCGUUAAUCAGAAUUACUGGGCGUAAAGCGCACGCAGGCGGUCUGUCAAGUCAGAUGUGAAAUCCCCGGGCUUAACCUGGGAACUGCAUUUGAAACUGGCAGGCUAGAGUCUUGUAGAGGGGGGUAGAAUUCCAGGUGUAGCGGUGAAAUGCGUAGAGAUCUGGAGGAAUACCGGUGGCGAAGGCGGCCCCCUGGACAAAGACUGACGCUCAGGUGCGAAAGCGUGGGGAGCAAACAGGAUUAGAUACCCCUGUAGUCCCUGUCUCUUAUAC